CAUCAUCCUCGCAUACACUAACCGUUCUCAUGUCAUUCUUAAUCACACCCUAACACCUAUUGUUUGGCAUUCCUCUCACACUCUUUUCUUCUACCUACAUUUAUUUAUAUUAUCACUUUUACUACUUCAGAUUCCUUUAUACUCAUGGCGUGCCUAAACUAUCUCAGUCUAUUUUCUCAUAUUUUUUUUUUUUACUAUACAACCUUCUCCGCCUCUAGUUAUGUCAAUUCCUCUCACCUAUUGUCCCAACCCACAUUCAAGGUGAGCUAAUUCUCCAAUGUCUUG
Cinara cedri is the source of this 285-nucleotide non-coding RNA. The record is from the annotation of a GenBank genome assembly. NCBI's taxonomy places the organism in Eukaryota, Metazoa, Arthropoda, Insecta, Hemiptera, Aphididae.